Molecule: long non-coding RNA, 2316 nt
Filed under: Homo sapiens (human)
Lineage: Eukaryota; Metazoa; Chordata; Mammalia; Primates; Hominidae
Description: HSALNT0310170
Source: RNAcentral
AUAAGUACACCAUAUAACAAAUUAAGAUUAAAAACCAUGUAAUUCUAUUAGUUGGUGCAGAAAAAGCAUUUAACCAAAUUCAACACUCAUUUAUAUUAAAGACACUCAACCUAUUAAGAAUAGAGGGGAACUACUUCAAUUUAAUAAUGAACAACAAUAAAACAUCUAUAGCUAAAAUUGUACUUAAUGGUAAAUGACUUAAUGCUUUCCCCUAAGAUUGGGAGCAAGGCAAUGAUGUUCACUUUCUCUGCUCUUAUUCCACAUAGUACUGGAGGUUUUAGCUAUUGCAGUUGAGGCAUACAGAUUAGAAAGGGAGAAAUAAAAAUGUCUCUGUUUGUAGAUAUCAUGAUUAUCUACAUAGAAAAUAUAUUCCCCCUUAAAUGUAUACAAAGAAAAAAAGCACUGUAAAAUACUAUAAAAUGUUAUCGUGACACAUAAACUUUCAGAAUCAUUCAAUAAUAAGCAACAAUAAAAUAAAAUAAACCUUUAAAACUUAAUCAGCCAAUCUUGAGGGUCCUCUCUUUGGCUCUUCUCAUUUGCUUGCUCUGAUAAAUCAAGUUGAUAUGAUAUGAGUUGCUUCAUGGAGAGGGCAGAAGGUAUAGGACUGAAUCCUGCCAUAAAAUUAUGUAAAGGAGCUUGGAUACAGACCCUUCCCUACUGGAGCCUUGAGAUGAGACCAUAGCUCCAGCCAACUCCAUGACUGCAGCCCUCUGACAGAUCCUAAGUCAAAAGAUCCUGCUGAACCACAUCCAUACACUUGACCUACACAAGCCAUGAGAUAGUAAAUGUUGUGGGUUCAAGUCACCACAUUUUGGGAUGAUUUGUUAUGCAGCGAUAGAUAUCUAAUACAAUCUCUAUCUUUAUAUUAUUCAGGAAGUCAUUAAAGAAGCAACCCAUGGCAAAACUAGUUAUUUUCUUAAAACAGUAGGAAGAAGAAAAGCUUUUUGAAUGAAUCACUUCUCAUCUUCUCCGAAGUUGGAAGCAUCAAGAAUCUAAAUAAGCAUUUAUGAUGGCUGGCAUGAAUAUUUCUCUCCUUCAUCGUGCCUAUUUUAUGAACUUGAACAAGGAAGUUGCCACAACAUCUGUGGGCCAGAGAACUAUGCCAGAAUGUUAUUUCCAGAUUGCUUCCUGUAUUUACAAAGGUCUAUAGGUCCACUGAUACGGCUUUGCUACUCUACCCCGACACCCUGAGGACUAAUCUAUUAAUAGUAUGUACUUCUUAUAAUGAUGAGUGAGGCACAAAAGAGGAAGCAGAAACGUAAGAGACCUUCUAAAGCCUAUUCUCAGAACUGCCAUACUGUCGUUUCUGCCUCUGGCCAAAACAGGUCAUCAGGUACAAAGUCAAGAGCCCAAAGCCACAUGGUCCUAAGAUGAAGAAAGCCUGUGGAUUCAGGAACAGAUGAAUUUUAGGAGCCAACAACGCAAUCUACCACUUGCCUCUCUUAAGAAAUAUCAUUGUUUACCUAUGUGGCGGAAGAUAGAAUGGGAGUCCUAGUUGACCUUCAUAUAAUUUUUAGAAGAUGGAGCACUUCAACUUCUUCCACUCAUGAAAAGAGAGGUGACAGGUGAAGACAGAACAAGAAAACAAACCAAGAAUUUCCCCUCACCAGCCACCAGCUCUGCCAGCAACUUGAUCUUAGACUUCCCAGCCUCCGUAACGUCUUCCUCCUAAAAACCUGUAACCUCAAUCUAAUCAUGAGAAAAGACAUCAGGCAAAUCCCAACUGAGGGAGAUUUUACAUAGUACCUGAGCAGUACUCCUCAAAACUGUCAAGGUCAUCAAAAACAAAGAAGUAUGAAAAACUGUCACAGCCAAGAGGAACUUAAGGAAACAUAAUAAUUAAAGCCUCUGCUUAUAAUCUGUCAUGGAUUGGAAAACUAGAAAAAACAGUUUACAGAGUAUAACAAACUUUGGAGGAGUUAAUCGACUCUAAGUAAAAGAGUAUCUAGCACGGCUGUGGAACAAAGGAGAGACUCACAAACUGUUGAAAGAAUAAAUGAAUGAAUGAAUUCUGUUCAUGAGCUUUAAUAAAACAGCUCUGAGUAGUAACAGUGGAUCAAAUUUAGGCUUCUUGAUGCAGGCAUGGUGUAGAUUACUACUUCUGUAUUGUCCCAGGAGCUCAGCACAUUCCUGCAGAGAUGAUAGGAGCUCAUCUGAUACUUGUCAGCUUUGAAUAAACUCCAGUCCCCAAGAGAGAGAAUGAGAAUCACCGGAAUACGAAACUUCCCUGUUGGACUUCCCAACAUUCUUGAAUGCACCAAGAUAGCCUCUUGCUGUGAGAUUAAUAAAUGAAUAAAUGCCUCCAUAUUUUUCAAA